CCAGCUCCAAUAGCGUAUAUUAAAGUUGUUGCAGUUAAAAAGCUCGUAGUUGAACUUCGGAACCGGUCGAUUGGUCCGUCCUCUGGAUUGUGUACUGAUCGAUCUGUUCUUCUUCGCGAAGACCGCGUGUGCCCUUAACUGGGUGUGCACGGGAUUCACGACGUUUACUUUGAAAAAAUUAGAGUGUUCAAAGCAGGCAUUCGCUUGAAUAUCUCAGCAUGGAAUAAUAGAAUAGGACUUUGGUCUUAUUUUGUUGGUUUCCGAGACCGAAGUAAUGAUUAAUAGGGACAGUUGGGGGCAUUCGUAUUUCAUUGUCAGAGGUGAAAUUCUUGGAUUUAUGAAAGACGAACUUCUGCGAAAGCAUUUGCCAAGGAUGUUUUCAUCG
Molecule: ribosomal RNA, 385 nt
Filed under: Ctenophora sp. (in: diatoms)
Lineage: Eukaryota; Bacillariophyta; Fragilariophyceae; Fragilariales; Fragilariaceae
Description: Ctenophora sp. (in: Bacillariophyta) partial small subunit ribosomal RNA
Rfam family: Eukaryotic small subunit ribosomal RNA
Source: RNAcentral